CAGCUCCGCCCGCACCGCCCGCACCGCCGACACGCAGACCGGCAGCCCUGCUUCUUUAAACCGCUAAACUCACGUCGGUGGCUGUAAGGAAGACUUAUUGUCGACUUCAGAAACUUCUGAGGCAGCGGCGCGAAAUUGUGUGGGGAGAUGGGUAGGGGAACACUGCCCUCCUUUGGAGGGGGAAGUGCAGUGCCUAGUGGCGAGUGUGCUAACAAGAUGAGCCAUGCUUCCAGAAGAAAUUACAGGGGGGUAAUUUCAAAGGACAUGUGAGGGACUUAUCGGGAAUGCCUGCAAGAAAAUCGAUCUCAGGGUUCUGUAAGUACUUGGAUGAUAAAUUUACUUUGAACUCUUCAAACCACCACUGAACAACAGUGUCCAGUCUGUAAGGAGGGGCCACUACCCAGGAUAGAGAAAGCUGCAGAAAGUUGUAAUGUUGGCCAGCUCCAUUACGGGCACUGGCCUCUCCAGCGUCAAGAACAUGUUCAAAGAUCGGUGCCUCGGGAAGGCAGCAUCAACCGAUCACCCAGGACAUGCCCUCUUCUCAGUGUUACCAUCAGGGAGGAGGCACAGGGGCCCGAAGAAUCACAAUGAACUCCUCAGCAGCAGUUUCUUCCUGCACGCCACCUGAUUUCUGAAUGCACAAUAAACCGAUGAACCCUACAUCAUUACUUCCUACUGUGAUUUAUUAUUUUAUUAUUAUGUGCUUCAAUGCACUCCUGCCGCAGAGCAGCACUUUUCACAAAAUGUUGAACCUGACUCUGGCCGCCACCCUUUUGAAAAUGGUGCAGAAGAAAUUUACCAGGGACGGAAAACUUCUGUGAGUCAACUAAAGAAGCUGAGGUUGUUGUCCUUGGACAGAGGAGUAUGUGAGGGAGAUUGGAGAACUAUUUAAAAUAUUUAAAAGGGAAUGAACACAGAGAGAGAGACAGACAGACAGAGAGGGAAGGGGGAAGAGAGAGUGAGAGGGGGGUGAGAGAAGGGGAAGAGAGAGGGGUAGAAAGAGAAAGACAGACAGAAAGAGAGAGAGAGCAGCCAUUUAGAUUUUGUUUGACAAAUCCCAAAGCAAGCAUAAAUCAAAUCAUAGGGUAGCAGGAAAUAUUUUAACUUUACCUCUUGGUUUUGUCUGACUGAAGUAAUUGUUCUGUGUUCCAACUCUUCUGCAAACCUACUGGAAUCUCAGCGACCAGCAAUCCCAAUGACAUUGAGUGCAGACAGAGAGAGUCCCACCUUGCCACAAGUAAUCUUGCUUCCCAACCCCGCCCCGCUCAAAUAAUUUGUGACUUCUUUAUGCAACAAGUGAGAUUUGCAUUUCUUGAUCCUGCCUUUUAUCUGACAUCAGUGCCCAGAUCCAGGAAGCUGUUGUAGUUCCUGGUUUUAAAGUUGUAUUGUGACCAGAACAGGAUUCAGGUUUAAUAUCAGCAGCAUAUGUCGUGAAAUUCAUUGUUUUGUGGCAGCAGUACAUUGCAGGGAAUGCUUUACAUCUCUUCAACCUAAGAUUCAUAAACCUACCUGUCCAGGCAGACCCAUUGUCUCUGCUCGCUCCUGCCCCACUGAACUCAUUUCUGCCUAUCUGGACUCUGUUUUAUCUCCCCUUGUUCAAUCCCUUCCCACCUAUGUCCGUGAUACUUCCCAUGCUUUACAUCUCUUCAUUCCCAGCUCUCUACUUCAUCCCUCCCCUCACUUCUUAUCUCCCUCCACCAUCCCAUGUUACUUCACACCUGAUGAAGGGUUUCGGCCCGAAAUGUCGUCGCUCCCUCCUCCCAUAGAUGCUGUCUGGCCCGCCGAGUUCUGACAGCAUUUUGUGUUUUUAUUUAUUUCCAGCAUCUGCAAAUUCACUCGUGUGCAUUUUGUGUGUGUGUGUGUUGCUUGAGACAGCACCAAAACUGGAGAUGUGGUGGACAGCGAGGAAGACGAUCAAAGCUUGCAGUGGGAUCUGCACUACUGUCAGGGUGCAGCUGGAUCGGAGAAGGCAGGUUAAUGGUUUGGCAUGGAUUAGUUGGGCCAAAGGGCCUGUUUCAGUGCUUGGGUGCUUUCUCACUCUGUGUGUUUGUGCUUGCAUAGUUCUCCAGAUUUCCGGUGCAGAGCAUUCUGUUCAUUUGUACCAGAGCCUGGCAUGGAAACUCCAGUGCAAGAGGCUGCAGAGGGCUGUAGUCCCAGCCAGCUCCAUCAUGGGCACAGCCCUCUCCCAUCAUCAAGGACAUGCCUCAAGAAGGUGCCACUGAAGAGGGUGGUGCUGGGUGAUCGUUGCUCUUAAUGGGCGAGACUGAGAUCCUGAAAGUGAAUUUAAACCAGGACUGUUGUCUGAUCAAUACGUGGUUCCAUCUGCACUCUUUAAGAGUCAUAGAGAGAUACAGCAGUGAAACAGGCCUGUUGGCCCAUCACAUCCGUGUUGACCACCCGCACUCAGAGGUACACCUGUAUCUGCUCAGUACCUGUAAUACAAAUAAUUAAUCAACCAAUCAUGUGACAGCAACUCAAUGCAUAAAAGCAUGCUGACACGGUCAAGAGGUUCAGUUGUUGUCCAGACCAAACAUCAGAAUGGAGAAGAAAUGUGAUCUGAGUGACUUUGACCGUGGAAUGAUUGCUGCUGCCAGACGGGGUGGUUUGAGUAUCCCAGAAACUGCUGAUCUCCUGGGAGUUUCACACACAACAGUCUCCGGAGUUCACAGAGAAUGGUGGGCAGCUGUUCUCCUUGUGAAUGAGAGAGGCUGAGGAAAAUGGCCAGACUGGUCCAAGCUGAGAAGAAGGUGACAGCAACCCAAACAGCCACCUGUUAAAACGCUGGUGACGGAGGACCACCUGUGAACACAUAAUGUGCCCAACUUUGAAGUGGAUGGGCUACAGCAGCAGAUCAGAAACAUACACUCAGUGAGAAUUUCCUGUACCUAUCUAUCCAUUUAAACCCCUCCUAUGCCAAUACUGUUUUACACUCCCCCACUCUCAUCAACAAACCCCUCUCCUGAAUAUUCCCCCUGUAAAGGGGGUUUCUUCUUUUUCUUUGUUGCUGCCUAUGUUAAUCAAAAUGAUUUCUUUGUUUUGUUAAAAGUAGGAAUGCUUCUUUGUUGCGAGAGAGUGCUGGAAGCUUGUUUGGGUUAAAAUUUACAGGUAACGAGAAUUGUAUUCCUUUGAUAACCAAUUGGGAUUAAUGUUGUUCUUUCUUCUGAGUCUGUGAGCUAUUGUUGGCGGGCUUUUGGGGAGAUCGGCGCGAGGGGGUGAGAGAGAGAGGACGCGAUGCUGUAAAUGGGGCGAGGAACGUACCCCAAGUGGAGGUCCGAGGCCAUGAGGUACCCCGAGGAGAGGAGACCAAGACAGAUGUGCUUGGUUGACCACUUCAGAUGGUCCUGAGCUGUUUGGAGAGUCGAGGAGUUCGGAGGGGAUGGAAUGGUGGCCAGAAGACUUCAGUAAUUGAGCUCCAGCGGUUGUGCACGAAGUGGUUUGGACUUUGAUAAGUUUGGCGCCUUUUCUUUAUUUUCUUUUCCUUCAUGUGUACUGUAUCGUUAUUAAUUACUUAGUUAUAGUAAUCUUUAUAAACUGUAAUCAUUUAAUCACA
This is a long non-coding RNA of Hypanus sabinus (Atlantic stingray), 3550 nucleotides long. RefSeq lists it as uncharacterized. Lineage: Eukaryota; Metazoa; Chordata; Chondrichthyes; Myliobatiformes; Dasyatidae. The transcript has 2 exons. The record is from RefSeq and is a predicted model, not a curated record.